UACAGAGGGUGCGAGCGUUAAUCGGAAUUACUGGGCGUAAAGCGUGCGUAGACGGCUAUCUAAGUCGGGUGUGAAAGCCCCGGGCUCAACCUGGGAAUUGCAUUCGAGACUGAAUAGCUAGGGUACGGUAGAGGGAAGUGGAAUUUCCGGUGUAGCGGUGAAAUGCGUAGAUAUCUGGAGGAACACCGGUGGCGAAGGCGGCAUCCUGGACCAACACUGACGCUGAGGAGCGAAAGCCAGGGGAGCAAACAGG
Molecule: ribosomal RNA, 253 nt
Filed under: uncultured bacterium
Lineage: Bacteria
Description: partial 16S ribosomal RNA
Rfam family: Bacterial small subunit ribosomal RNA
Source: RNAcentral